UCCUACGGGAGGCAGCAGUAGGGAAUCUUCCACAAUGGACGAAAGUCUGAUGGAGCAACGCCGCGUGAGUGAAGAAGGGUUUCGGCUCGUAAAACUCUGUUGUUAAAGAAGAACAUAUCUGAGAGUAACUGUUCAUGCAUUGACGGUAUUUAACCAGAAAGCCACGGCUAACUACGUGCCAGCAGCCGCGGUAAU
RNAcentral lists this ribosomal RNA (195 nucleotides) under uncultured Lactobacillus sp. RNAcentral's name for it is "partial 16S ribosomal RNA". It matches the Rfam family "Bacterial small subunit ribosomal RNA", at positions 337 to 524 of the family's 1533-position model. Lineage: Bacteria; Bacillati; Bacillota; Bacilli; Lactobacillales; Lactobacillaceae. The record is from RNAcentral.